This 360-nucleotide unclassified non-coding RNA is filed under the name soil metagenome. Its description in RNAcentral is "partial contains 5.8S ribosomal RNA, internal transcribed spacer 2, and large subunit ribosomal RNA". The stretch from base 1 to 120 matches the Rfam family "5.8S ribosomal RNA", at positions 35 to 154 of the family's 154-position model. The record is from RNAcentral.
GAUGAAGAACGUAGCGAAAUGCGAUAAGUAAUGCGAAUUGCAAAAUUCAGUGAAUCAUCGAAUCUUUGAACGCACAUUGCGCCCGCCAGUAUUCUGGCGGGCAUGCCUGUCUGAGCGUCGUUUCGACCCUCGCGCCCGGCUUCUGUCGGGGGCGGUGUUGGGGAUCGGCCACACCCUUCAGUGGGAGGCCGGCCCCUAAAUUCAGUGGCGACCACGCUGUAGCCUCCCCUGCGUAGUACUAAAACCACCUCGCAGGCGGAGAGCGGUGCGGCCCGCCGUAAAACCCCCCAACUUUUACAAGGUCGACCUCAGAUCAGGUAGGAAUACCCGCUGAACUUAAGCAUAUCAAUAAGCGGAGGA